ACGGAAGGCAGCAGUGGGGAAUAUUGCACAAUGGGGGAAACCCUGAUGCAGCGACGCCGCGUGAGUGAAGAAGUAUUUCGGUAUGUAAAGCUCUAUCAGCAGGAAAGAAAAUGACGGUACCUGACUAAGAAGCCCCGGCUAACUACGUGCCAGCAGCCGCGGUAAUACGUAGGGGGCAAGCGUUAUCCGGAUUUACUGGGUGUAAAGGGAGCGUAGACGGCUUUGCAAGUCUGAAGUGAAAGCCCGGGGCUCAACCCCGGAACCGCUUUGGAAACUGUAGAGCUAGAGUGCAGGAGAGGUAAGUGGAAUUCCUAGUGUAGCGGUGAAAUGCGUAGAUAUUAGGAGGAACACCAGUGGCGAAGGCGGCUUACUGGACUGUAACUGACGUUGAGGCUCGAAGGCGUGGGGAGCAAACAGGAUUAGAUACCCUGGUA
RNAcentral lists this ribosomal RNA (434 nucleotides) under uncultured Treponema sp. RNAcentral describes it as "partial 16S ribosomal RNA". It matches the Rfam family "Bacterial small subunit ribosomal RNA", at positions 341 to 792 of the family's 1533-position model. Lineage: Bacteria; Pseudomonadati; Spirochaetota; Spirochaetia; Treponematales; Treponemataceae. The record is from RNAcentral.